CUCUGAAGCCAUUUCCAAGUUUCAAACAACCUUCUGAACCUCAAUGUUUAGGUUAAACCUCANUGUUUGAGCUAGUUAAUACUUGGAUGGGAGACCAGUGGGAAUACCAAGUGCUGUAGGGU
Molecule: ribosomal RNA, 122 nt
Filed under: Salvator merianae (Argentine black and white tegu)
Lineage: Eukaryota; Metazoa; Chordata; Lepidosauria; Squamata; Teiidae
Source: RNAcentral